UUCUUCCUGUGAUUCUGAUUCUGGUUCUUGGGUUUUUCUUUCUUGUUGAAAUUGAAUAUGGGUUCGACCAGUAUGACCCCAACAACUAUCCUAGAGUCAGAUGAGGAGGCAUCUCUGUUUUCCAUGCAGCUCGUCAGUGCCUCAGUUCUCCCCAUGGUCCUCAAAUCAGCUUUGGAGCUCGACCUUCUUGAGAUAAUCGCCAAGGCUGGCCCUGGGGCGUUUGUCUCCACUUCUGAGAUUGCUGCUCAGAUCCCCACCCACAACCCAGAAGCCCCUGUCAUGCUGGACCGUAUCCUCCGCCUUCUUGCCACCUAUGCUGUGGUCAAGUGCUCUCUUCGCAACCUCCCUGAUGGAGGGGUUGAGAGGCUCUAUGGGCUCGCCCCUGUCUGCAAGUACUUGACUAGGAACGAAGAUGGGGUGUCUGUAGCCCCUCUUCUCCUCAUGAAUCAGGACAAGGUCCUCAUGGAGAGCUGGUAUCAAUCCAUUUUUUCCUCAUCUUUCUGCUUCUCUAGAUCCCCAUUUUCUCUCCUCAUUUUCUUAUCCUAAAAGGAAAUAUUUUAAAGAUUAAUUGAUUCAAAGGAAGGAAAUGAUACCAAAAUUUGUAAAUCUAACACAUCUUUUUUACAAUUUUUGACAUAAAUUUUCAACAUUAUUUAUAUUAAAUUUAGUUUUAAAAGGAAAGCUUAUUUAAAAUAUAAAAAAAAUAAAAAUGAUAGGUAUUUUUGUGCCAAAUGGGUAUUUUUUAGAUUGAAAAAAUAUGAAAAUUUAGAUUUAUAAAUUAGGGAAUUUUUCAUCAUUUUAAUCAAAUAACCCAUAUUUUUACCUAAUGAUAUAAUCUAGCACUUUAAUCUUAGAAGAUUUUGUGAAAUUUUUUUAGUUUUAUUCCUUUCUUUUAUGAAGCAUUGAAUAGUGAAGCAAUGGUUUGAGGUUUCGUGUGGAGAAGAAAUUGAAAGAGAUUUUCAAAGAAAAAAGUAUAAUAAAUUUGUUGUGGUGUGUUCUUAAAUAAUUCCAACAGAUGUGCACCACAAAUUCCUUGAAGCUUGAGAAUUGACACCCACUACACCCACCAAGAACCCACUCUUGUUUGUUUUCACAUUUUCUGUUCUCUUGUUUUGGUGUUGGAUGUGGAUGUGGAUGUGGAUGUGGACCUGUACAUCUCUCUAACCCAUUGUUUUUUUAUUUUAUUCUUCACCCAUCAGUUGGUAGAUCAUGUGCUUCUGAACUAACCAAACCCAGUUCCAUAUUUUUCUUCAUUUUAUUCUUCUUUUUGCACAUGAUAUGACCAAGAGAAUGGAGUUGAACAGAUUGGAGUUGAACCCAUUAUGUGUGGGUCCACUGUAGAAUAAGUAAACAGAUUGGAAUAGUUCUUCAUACCAAUCAUUGAAGCCUACUUUACUUUUGUUAGCUUUUGAAGCUUUGGUUCUGGAUUGGACUCAAACAACUUGUACAGGAAAAAUUAGGUCUUGUAGGUUCUGUGGUUGGUGAAGAUUGAUUGGUAUUCUUCUUUGUGCUAAUUGUAGGUACUAUUUGAAAGAUGCAGUUCUUGAUGGUGGAAUCCCCUUCAACAAAGCCUAUGGAAUGACUGCCUUUGAGUAUCAUGGCACAGAUCCUAGAUUCAACAAGGUGUUCAACAAUGGAAUGUCUGGUCAUUCCACCAUUACCAUGAAGAAAAUUCUUGAAGCCUACAAGGGUUUUGAGGGCCUCACCUCAAUUGUUGAUGUUGGUGGUGGGACUGGAGCCACCCUUAACAUGAUCAUAUCCAAAUACCCCACUAUUAAGGGCAUUAACUUUGACUUGCCUCAUGUUAUUGAUGAUGCCCCAUCUUAUCCUGGUACAUUUCCACAUCAUUCUACAAUUAAUUCAUCUGCAUACCAUCCUUCAAAGAUAGUCAUGGAGCUAUCAUUCUGAUUGGCCAAAAGAGGGUUGAGUUUUAGUGGCAGAGUUGAAACCCCACUAACCAUUUCCAAUGAUUUGCUGAGCUAGUGGAUCUUAUCCCUAUGAUCAUCUUGUUCCUCUUAUCAGUUUCUGCGGUUGAAUUUGGCUGCAGGUGUGGAGAAUGUUGGGGGAGACAUGUUUGUGAGUGUCCCAAAGGGAGAUGCCAUCUUCAUGAAGGUGAAUUUGUGUUCUUUAUAUAUCCUUUACUCUGUUACCUUCCGUAUAGUCAAAUUGGCAUACUAGCAUCUCAGUGGGAGCCAGUUAUGAGAAAAGGGAUGAUGAUCAACUUGUGGGUGUGCUUCCAAAGAGAUUGAAGACAUAGCUUUUUGAGAUUGAAUAUGGUCCAUAUGAAAUCACUACUAAAUGAUAAUUAGCCUCUAAGAUCAUACUGAUUCUACCUUCGAUUAUGCUAAUGACCCGUCAAAAUGAACAUAAGAUGAGGUCAUAUGAGAUAGCAAGAUGUGGUAUAUUUUGUACCUUCAAUUAUGCUAAUGGAUGUAAAUUGUCUUCCUGCAGUGGAUAUGCCAUGAUUGGAGUGAUGCUCAUUGCUUGAAGUUCUUGAAGAACUGUUAUCAGGCACUUCCAGACAAUGGGAAGGUAAUUGUUGCUGAAUGCAUCCUUCCUGUGGCCCCAGACACCAGCCUAGCCACCAAGGGUGUCGUCCAUAUCGACGUUAUCAUGUUGGCUCAUAACCCUGGUGGAAAAGAGAGGACCGAGAAAGAAUUCGAAGCCUUGGCCAAGGGAGCUGGAUUCCAAGGCUUCAAGGUAGUGUGUUGUGCCUUCAACACUUGGAUCAUGGAAUUUUGUAAAACUGCUUGAGCCUCUAGCUUUGUAUCCAUUGCAAGUUGUCUGUGAGUUUCCUGAUUCUAUAUUGUGUCUUCUUUCACAAGUGGCUUUAUACGGUGUAUGAAGUUGUUAUACAAUGAAAUAAGAAGCUAAUUUUGUCAAAUGAGAUUAAUAUAUAAAAUAAUGAAAUUAAAAUAUAAAAUAAUAAAAUUAAACUCGAGUAUAAAGUAAAUGUGAAUUAAACUCUUUUGUAUUAAAACUUUAUUUAUUAACAUAAAAAAAAUAAAAAAAUAAAAAAAUUUGGUUUUUUUGUCUUAUUCAAAUAUCCUAUUGACCCAACCACUCUUUUUGGGGCUUCUAGUGGAGUCUACUUGGCCCAUAAAAAUUGUACACGUCACCUAUUAAUCAUAUACACAUCAUUCAAUUUGCUUACGUCAAUGCAGAUUCUAAAUCCAUUGUCAAUUAAAAACACUAUAAAAUUGGUGAUAUCAACCCCACACCAUUUGAUGUCGUCAUCACCGUCCAAAAGUAAGACUUUUGGAGCUAUUAGCAGCUCAAAAGCAUAAAAAAUUGGUCAACAUAUUUAAUAAGGUAGUUCAUCACUUGCGUUAUCAAAGAUAUACCUAAAUUUCACUACUAUUUUCAUUUGUAAUUCAGUCGUUGUGGCCUUUUUUUCUAUAUAUUUUCUAUCAACAACCAAAUUUAUUCAUAUCUUUUAAGAAUUUAAAAUUUGAUUUUAAUAUAAUACCUAAUUAAUAACAUAAUAUUUUCCGAACAACUAUUACACGAGACUUUCAAGCCAAUUAUACUUUUUCAGUAACAUAUUGAAAAGGCAUCACUUACAUACUAAGUUUUGACUACAGAUCCAUAUAUCUAUAUCUCGUGAUACUUAAAAGUGUUUUUAAUAAAAAUAUUUUUUAUUGAAAGUAUUUGUAGGAGAAUCAUCUAUAAGUGUUUCUCUAAAAAAUGUUAUAAGUGAUUUUUCAUAAUUUUAAAGUAUUUCCUAAACUUUAUCAAAUUCUUCAUUUAUUAUUUUUAAAAACAUUUUUUAAACCAAUAACGUUUCUUAGAACUACUGUUAAACAUACUCUUAAUCUUAUUUAUUUAUAUAUCAUAUAAUGAUACAGGUUUUAUCACAUAGAUUUAACAACUCAAAUAUGCAAUUCAGUAGAUAUAAUUUCCGUAUCUUUCAUUUUCUAUUAUAUAAAUAUGAAAGGACAAUCAAACAAUAAAAAUAGAAUAAAAAAGGUAAUGGUAUUUUUCUUAUUUUGAUGUGACAAAAAGUUUGGUAGCAAUAUUCUAGACAUCGAUAAAAUCCAAAUAUAGGAACAUUAUAAAAAUAUGUAGCUCGUUGGUAACUUUAAGUGAUUCUCUAUGUCAAAUUCAUUGAGUUAAGAAUUAAGGUGUUACCUUUUGAUAAACUACAUGGCCAUGAGAUUUUGACCCCAAAAUUUGCAAUAUCACUAAAGUUACACUAAAAGAUAAAAUGGAGAUUAUUUCCCCACAUUAUAGAUUCAUUCAAUGUACUUCAUUAUCUAUCAUAUAGAAUUUAAUUUCGUUUUGUUGUCUAUGAUUUGACAUCAAGUAUUUAUAUCAUAUUAUAUAACGUAAAUUUUUUAUUUUGCUUAGAUAUAAUUAACUAUAGUUCAUUACUAUAAAUAUAAGAAAAUAAAAGAACAUGGUCGAGUUUCGUUCAUUGUACUUGAUAUAUUAUGAGAUUUAUGAUAUUAUAAUUCAUUAUUUCAUGUAAUCAUCAAAACCAUCGUUCGGUGUGGAACAUGGACAUUAUAGUAAAUAAAAUUCUUAAUAGUACAUACAAAACAAGAAGACGAUAAAAAUGUAUUGUUUUUUCAUAUUUAUUUUACAACAUUUAUGACUUGGAAGAGUUUUUUAAACAUUAAAAUUAAGAUUUUACACGAGUUUCAACAUUUGUUUGUAUGAUUUUCUUGACUCUAAUUACUUUUGUUUUUGUUCUUCUAUUGUUAAAAACAAGAAGAGUUCGAGACUGAAGUCUUAGUUUGUAUAUACAAAACAAGAAAAUAAUGAUUUUUAUAUUCGACUUACAAGACUCAUUCAUAGUUGCUGAGGUCAUAUGAAUAAUUGUUGAUGAUAUCACAAGGGACCCUUGUGGCUGUUUAUGUCAAUAUUCUCUGCAUGUUCCCUUCUCCAAUUGAUGAUUGAGAUAUCACAUGCCUAGUUGCAGGAGUGGAAAUCUUCAGCAUGGUGGCUGCCUCAUGCUAUGACCUUUCAAAGAUUACUCCCAUUAAAACCUAACAUCAAAAUGAUUGAAAUUGGCUUAUUAAAAAACAGUGAUCAUUGGUCAUGUAUGUAACCAACCCUCUUGCAUGAGUUUUGGGCUCAAUUCCCAUGUUUUUCUCAACACGUGUAGUGGGGGAAAACAUACUCCAUCAUGACAUUGACAUUGCAAGAGAUCAUCACUUACCGAAGUUUUCUGAUUAAUGAGUGAUGUCGUAUGCAAUGUUUUAAGAAUCACACCGAUAAUUGAAUUGAAAAAGUUAUUGAUUUACGGUUCACUGAUUAGACCAGUGAUUAGAACGAUUGAACUGAUGAUGUCAUAAAUAAUAAUUUAUAUAUUAUAUAAAAUUUUAAAUAAUUAUAAGAAAUUAAAAUUAUAUAUAAUUAAAAUUUUUGAUAAUAUUUUAUUUUUAUAUUUAACAUAUCAAAUUAAAUGAAGAGAAAAAUAAACAUAUUAAUAUAUUAAAUUUUAUUAAAUAGAACAUUUAUAAUAUUUAAAUAUAAAGAUAUAUUUAAAAUGAAAAAAAAUAUAAUAUUUAAUUUUAUUUGCAUGUCUUUUGUAUUUUUUUAUUUUGAAAUUAUUAUAUUAAUUAAUUUAUAUUAUUUUUAUAAUUACAUUAUAUAAUUAUUAUAAAAAUAAAUGUGAAAGUAUUUAUACUUUUAUACAAUAAAAAUUUGAAAAAAAAAAUUAAUUUUGUUAUAUAUUUUUAUUUACAAAUAUAAUAUAAUGAAGAAACUUCAUAACUUAAUGGUUAAACUUUAAUUUUUACACCUGAAGGUCUCAACUCAAGCUCUCUAGUUUGCAAAAAAAUUUUCUUUCUCACAAACUAAUCCCACAUUGAAAAUGGAUUAAAAAAAGAAAAGAAAGAAUUGUGGGGUAUAAAAGGCAUGCAAUAAUCAUUAACUUGUAAGACUAAAAGCUUAUUGGGCUUGAUGACAAAUGAGCUGGAUAUGCUCCUCAUGGAGUGAUCUGGCUUCCUUAGAAAGUGUUGUCGUUUUGUUGUAAAAUGCAUCAAAAUAUUUUCUUGGCUUUAAAAAAAAUGGCUUAAAAAAAAGGUUUUUUUGGCUUAAAAAAAAAAAAGGUUGAACCAUCCAGUUUGAAGGGAAUUGACCGAUUUGUUUGGUUUGUCAGUUCGACUAUUAGUUCAACUGGUCCGAUUCCGGUUCAACCCUUGAUCGACUUAAUUAGUUGGAUCGAAACAAAACCGUAAUUGGUUGGCGGUUAGACUAAUCAAACCGAUAAGUCUUAUCCAGUUUUUAAAACCAUGGUUGGAUGAGCAUUUAUGAUAACUUCAUCUCAAGUCUUUCUUCUGAUAAUUAAUCCUUGCCAAUAUGAAUUGAAACUCAUCCAAAAGUUAUAAAUGAAGAUUUGGAAUGGUUUGCCACAAUUCUUCCCUGUUGCCAUCGUUUUUGGACACAUUCCAUGAGCAAACCAUGUCCACAACUUGUCUUUUCAUUUUCCUUCAUCAUGAUGAUCACAUGUAUAAGAUUAGCCUCGUCACAUGAAAAAACAUUACCCCUUUGAUGUCAUUCUUAGAGCAUGUUUGACCAUAUUUUUAGUAAAAAUAUGUUUUAAAAGUGUUUUUAAGAGAAUCACUUACCAAUAGUUUUUUCAAAAGACUAUAAAUGAUUUUCUAACACUAUAAAUGAUUUUUCACAUUUUUAUGAGUAUUUCUUAAAUUUUGUGAAAUAUCUAUUUUUUUUUUCAAAAUUACACUAAAAAUAUUUCCUAAAAUCAUUGUCAAACAUUCUCUUACUAUAAAAAAUCUUCUGAAUCAAAAUUAGUAUAAAAUUAACAAAUUGGAACUAACUACAAUUACUUUUGAUUAUAAAUAUCUGAUUAUCUCAUGAGUAUAUAUACUAGCUACCUUGAUAAUUUUCAAUAAUUUUGGUAAGUCCUACUAUAUAUGUAUACUUUUGCUUUCAAGAUUUUUCUAGUACAAGCUUUCUAAGUAAAACCAUUCCAUUAUAGGGUGAUCAUUUUGUCUUUAAAAGGAUAUAAAACUAAGAAAAUUGUGAUGAGAGACUUUAACAAUAAACAAGGAUGUUUGAUUGUAUGGAAGUUUCGACAACUAUUUAGCUCAACAUAAUAGAUGACGAUCUUCUAGAUGUGAAAAUAUUCAUUCCCCUUUAUUUCAGUUAUCCAAAAGACCUCAUUUUUAUCAUUUUUUUUUAGGUAUGUUUGAUUCGUGGAGUAUUGUAAGAUAAAAAAAAAAGUGAAAAGAAUAAAAAAUUUUAAAGGUCAUAAAUUAUUCUUAUAUGCUAUUUUAAAUUCAUUUCACUUAUUUUAAUUCUUUCAUAAAAAUUAAAUAAUUUAAAAAUAUAUAAAAUUUUAAUCAAUUUUAAAUAUAUUUAAUUUUUAUUUUAUAUUUUUUCAUAUUACAACCAAACACAAGAAAGUUGUUCUCCUUAAUAAUUUGUUUAUUUUUCUCAUACUAUCCCGAACAUAAGUAAGCCAAUCUAAAAGAAUGGUUAUGACUUGAUUACAUGUGUGCUGAAAAUACAAUAUUGCUUCGUGUCAAAGCUAUAACUUGAUUAUAUGAGGGUCAAAUUUUAAAUAUUUUUUAUUUUAUGAAUAUUUAAGUUUAUUAAAAAUUACUUUUAGGUAAUUUAAAAAUAUAUAUAAAUUACCUGAAAUCCAAUUUGUCUUCACAAAUAAUGAAGUUCAAUCCACAUUCAAAAAAGGUAAAUCUUUUGCUUCCUUUUUAUAUAUAUAUAUAACUGAAAAAUUAGUUCACGUGUCAAACAUAUAUAUAAAGUCAUCAUCCAUUAUCAACCACACAAAUGCCACCGACCGCCCGCCCUUGUUGACGCCUCUCUAUAGCACGCCGUGGACACCAUGACAAGGUUUCUAACGGACCGCCCACCCUUGUUGACGCCUCGCUAUAGCAUGUCAUGGACACCAUAACAAGGUUUCUACCGACGGCAUAUCAUUCCACAUCGUCAUCUCCACAUUCCCAAGUUAAGCUUUAUAUAUAUAUAUAUAUAACAAAAAAAAAGAUAAAAAAAGAACACUUAUUGGUUGAGGUGAAGACUUCUCACGAAGAAUUCGAGCCAAGAGAUGACUCAAAAAUUGAAAGAAUUUUUUCAAAGAAUUCAAAUUGGUUUUCUCAAAUUGAUUGAAAAAUACUCAAAGAUCAAAAGAACAUUCUAAAAAAAAGUUCAAGUCAAGUUACUCAACUAUUGUCCCUUUCAUAUAUAUAUAUAUAUAUAUAUAUAUAUAUAUAUAUAUAUAUAUAUAUAUAUAUAUAUAUAAAUAAAGAAUAUAAGGAUGAUAAAUUGGAAGAUAAUUAAAAGUGUAAAGCAAGAAAUGAAAAUGAAAGAGUUUGGAAAAAAGUAGGAAAGAAAUAAUUUUUUGAAAAAAUAGAAAACUUUCUAUUAAAGUAUUUCUUUGAAAAUAAAAAUAAAAAUUACUUCAGGACUCGGGGUGAACAUAUAACAAUGCAUGUAUAUGAUGCGUCUUACAGGGGGCAUUUGUAAACAUAAAAAAAUUUUAGUGGAUUAAAUUACCACUAAUUUUAUUUUCAAAAUGAAUAAAUAAUAAUAAUAAUAAUAAUAAUAAUAAUAAUAAUAAAUAUCUUUAAUCUCCAACUAUAAAAAAGAUAAUAAUAAUAAUAAGAAAAUUAUUAUUAUUUUAUUGGUAAAAGAACUGCUACACGUAAUAUUUGAAUCGUUCUUUAAGUUGUGGUCAAAGCUAAAGAAUCGGAAGAAGGAAAAUAUUCUUUUGUAAAGAAUAUUAUAUUUGAGAUUGUAUUCAUAAUAUUUUUAAUUUUAAUAAAUUUUCUAUUCAUAUUAUUUUUUUAUUUGUUUUGCUAAUUUUAUAGGACUUUUAUGAAAUUUGUAUAUACAAUUACUUCAAAUUCAUUUAACUUAUUUUAACUCUUUCAUAAAAAUUAAAUAAUUUGAAAAUAUAUAAAAUUUUAAUCAAUUUUAAAUAUAUUUACUUUUCUUUAAUAUUUUUCAUAUUACCGACAGAAAAAAGUAGUUCUCCUUAAUAAUUUUUUUAUUUGUCUCAUACUCUCUCGAACCAGACAGAGGGUUAAUGACCUCUACCAAGAUGAGAUAAUGCAAACAUGAAUAUGUGGCUAAAAGACGAGCUAUGGAGUCAACCCAAGAUGCCCCACAUGCCUUUUCAUUUAUGUAUUAGUACAAGUGAUUAUAUUCAUCUUCCAAGAAGCUACUAAGCCUAUGUAGGAGAGUGGUUACUAUUUGAUUACAUGUGUAUCGAAAAUAUGAUACUGUUUCGUGUUAGGGUUACGACUUAAUUACACGAGGAUUAAAUUUUAAAUAUUAAUUUUUUUUAUAAAUAUUUAAGUUAAUUAAAAAUUCUAUCUCAAAUAUUAAGAUAAUUUUUUUAAUAAAAAAAAUAAAUUACCUGAAAUAAAAUUUGUCUUUGGUGAUGAUGAAGGUCAACACUCAUUAGAAAAAGGUGAAUCUUUUUCUUCUUGAAAAACAAAAAAAAAAGUUAGCAAAAAAAAAAGAUUUGAAUAAAGAGAACACUAGUCAAAAUAUAUAUAUAUAUAUAUAUAUAUAUAUAUAUAUAUAUAUAUAUAUAUAAAACGCCAGAAUGGAUAAUCCAAAGCAGCUAUCAAGCCCAGCCAAAGCAGGCUUUCCCACUGAAAGAAGGCAAAACGCAUAUGCGCCUGAAAAAGAGUGUUAACGUGUCAAAGGUCGUAAUGGAUCAUCCAAAUCAGCUAUCAAGCCCAGCCAAAGCAGGCUACCCCACUGAAAGAAGACAACGCAUAUGCGCAAUCUCAGUCGGGUUCAAUGAAUUAAUGAAAAAUUCUGUGAGCCCUCCAUUAUAAAGCCAAUGCCAAAGGCACUCUUCAUUCCAUUGAACAGAGCUUGACUCUUCUAUUCAACAGCGGUUCGAACAGUAUGAACCAAGGUUUUUCUUCUUCUGCCGAGUUCAAUUCCCCCGUCCCAGCAACUAUCCCAAAGUCAGAGGAAGAUACGUUUGUGUUUGCCACUCUUCUCACCAGUGCCUCAGUUCUCCCCAUGGCCCUCAAAUCAGCUUUGGAGCUCGACCUUCUUGAGAUAAUCGCCAAGGCUGGCCCUGGGGCGUUUGUCUCCACUUCUGAGAUUGCUGCUAAGGUCACCAAACGCAACCCAAAAGCCCCUGUCAUGCUAGACCGUAUCCUCCGCCUUCUUGCCACCUAUGAUGUGGUCAAGUGCUCUCUCCGCGACAGCCCUGAUGGAGGGGUUGAGAGGCUCUAUGGGCUCGGCCCUGUCUGCAAGUACUUCACUACGAACGAAGAUGGGGUGUCUGUAGCCCCUCUUCUCCUCAUGAAUCAGGACAAGGUCCCCAUGCAGAGCUGGUAUCAGUCCAUCUUUUCGUCAUCGUUCUCUUUCUCUAGCUCCCCAUUUUCUCUCCUCCAUAUUUUCUUAUCCUAAAAGGAAACAUUUCAAGGAUUAAACCAAAAUUCGGAAAUCCAACACAUCUUUUAAUUUUUUUUUGACAUAAAUACUUUUCUAACAUUAUUGACAUUCAAGUUGCUUUAAAAAGAAAAGCUUAUUUUAAAAAAAAAUAAAAAAUAAAAUUGAAGGCAUUUUUGUGUUGGGUAUUUUUUAGAUUGAAAAAAUGUGAAAAAUUAGAUUUAUAAAUUAGGAUUAGUUCAUCCUUUUAAUCAAAUAACCCAUAUUUUUACCUAAUGAUCUAAUCUAGCAAUUUAAUCUUAGAAGAUUUUGUAACAAUUUUUUUUUUAUUCCUUUCUUUUAUGAAGCAUUGAAUAGUGAGGCAAUGGUUUGAGGUUUCGUGUGGAGAAGAAAUUGAAAGAGAUUUUCAAAGCAAAAGGUAAAAUAAAUUUGUUGUGAUGUGUUUUGAAAUGAUUCCAAAAAGAUGGGCACCCACUACACCCACCAAGAACCCACUCUAGUAUGUUUUUACAUUUUCUUCUCUUGUAUUGGGUGUGGAUGUGGGCAUCUCUCUAACCCUCUGUUUUGUUGAUUUUAUUCUUCACUAGAUCGUGUGCUUGUGAAUUAACCAAACUCAGUUCCAUAUUUUUCUUCAUUUUGUUCUUCUUUGUUCACAUGAUUUGACCAAUAGAAUGGAGUUGAACCCCAUCAUGUUUGGGUCCACCGUAGAAUAAGAAAACAGAGAUUGGGACAGUUCUUCAUACCAAUCAUGAAGCCUACUUUACUUUUGUUAGCUUUUGAAGUUUUGGUUCUUGAUUGGACUCAACAACUUGUACAGGAAAAAUUAGGUCUUGUAGGUUCUAUGGUAGGUGAAGAUUGAUUGGUAUUCUUCUUUGUGCUAAUUGUAGGUACCAUUUGAAAGAUGCAGUUCUUGAUGGUGGAAUCCCCUUCAACAAGGCCUAUGGAAUGACUGACUUUGAGUAUCAUGGCACAGAACCUAGAUUCAACAAGGUAUUCAACAAUGGAGUGUCUGGUCAUCCCACCAUUACCAUGAAGAAAAUUCUUGAAGCCUACAAGGGUUUUGAGGGCCUCACCUCAAUUGUUGAUGUUGGUGGUGGGACUGGAGCCACCCUUAACAUGAUCAUAUCCAAAUACCCCACUAUUAAGGGCAUUAACUUUGACUUGCCUCAUGUUAUUGAUGAUGCCCCAUCUUAUCCUGGUACAUAUCCACAUCAUUCUACAAUUAAUUCAUCUGCAUACCAUCCUUCAAAGAUAGUCAUGGAGCUAUCAUUCUGAUUGGCCAAAAGAGGGUUGAGUUUUAGUGGCAGAGUUGAAACCCCACUAACCAUUUCCAAUGAUUUGCUGAGCUAUUGGAUCUUAUCCCUAUGAUCAUCUUGUUCCUCUUAUCAGUUUCUGUGGUUGAAUCUGGCUGCAGGUGUGGAGCAUGUUGGGGGAGACAUGUUUGUGAGUGUCCCAAAGGGAGAUGCCAUCUUCAUGAAGGUGAAUUUGUGUUCUUUAUAUAGCCUUUACUCUGUCAAAUUGGCAUACUAGCAUCUCAGUGGGAGCCAGUUAUAAGAAGACGGAUGAUGAUCAACCCGUGGGUGUGCUUCCAAAGAGAUUGAAGACAUAGCUUUUUGAGAUUGAAUAUGGUCCAUAUGAAAUUACUACUAAAUGAUAAUAAGCCUCUAAAAUCAUACUGAUUCUACCUUCAAUUAUGCUAAUGACCCGUCAAACUGAACAUAAGAUGAAGUCACAUGAGAUAGCAAGAUGUGGUAUAUUUUGUACCUUCAAUUAUGCUAAUGGAUGUAAAUUGUCUUCCUGCAGUGGAUGUGCUAUGAGUGGGAUGAUGCUCAUUGCUUGAAGUUCUUGGAGAAUUGUUAUCAGGCACUUCCAGACAAUGGAAAGGUAAUUGUUGCUGAGUGCAUCCUUCCUGUGGUCCCAGACACCAGCCUAGCCACCAAGACUGCCGUCCAUAUUGACGUUAUUAUGUUGGCUUAUAACACUGGUGGAAAAGCGAGGACAGAGAAAGAGUUCGAAGCCUUAGCCAAGGGAGCUGGAUUCCAAGGUUUCAAGGUAGUGUGUUGUGCCUUCAACAGUUGGAUCAUGGAAUUUUGUAAAACUGCUUGAGCCUCUAGCUUGGUGUCCAUUGCAAGUAGUUUGUGAGUAUCCUGAUUCUAUAUCUUGUCUUCUUUCAUAAGUGGCUUCAUACUGUGUAUGAAGUUGUUAUACAAUGAAAUCAGAAGCUAUUUUUGUCAUUUCUUAUAUCAAAUAAGAUUCUUCAUGUUGAUUAGUCAAUCUAUAAUGAUCUCUUCAAACCUUCAAAAGUGAAAGCGAUCUUACCCUCUUUGUUCCAAAACAUGGUAUCAAAGCUAGAGGCCCUUAAUGGGCUAAUACAAUUAUGGGCUGUGCACAUCUAUUUGUUUGUCCAUCUUUGGGCCUCAUGGGCCCCCAAGGUUUUAAAAUGAAUGUAGCAUCUUUUUCUAUGUUCGUUCGUUUUUAGGCCUAAUAAGCCCUCAAGGUUUUAAAACGAGUCCAUCUUUGGUAGUCGAUGAAGGCUAUCACUAUGCCAUUUGAUAAUUUUCAAGUUUUUUUGUCUUUGCAUCUAAGUUACUAUAAUUUUGUCAAGAAUUGUCUUGUUAAUGGAGUGGGUAGAAAGAGAUAAGGCUCCUUCCAUAGCGGUGGCAAUGACAUGGCUAUCAUUAAUCAUUUUGUUUUUAAAUUUAACCUUUACCACCACCUUGACAACCCCCCAUUAGGUACAAGUUCUUAAUCAAUGGUUGCAAAUUUAUUAUUAAUUUACCUACCUAUUUGUCUUUCCACAUGGGAUCCACUUAGGUGUGUGGGGUCGACCGUAUUGACUUAUCUAUUAAUUUAUUUGUGAUCACAAUUUUUAUGGUUUGCACAACGUUUUAAAAAUUGGACCAGAUCGACCGGUCCGACCGAUCACCAGUCCGGUUUGAUUCACCUCUUUGAACCGGCCAACAUUUGAACCAUCAUCGAACCAUCAGAACCGGUGGAUAGACCGAUCCGACCAGUUUUUAACGAAUUGAACGGUUCAAAUGAACUUUUUCCUUUUUGUUUAUUAGCUUCCAAAACGAUGCCUUCCCUUUAUUUUUCCUUCUUCCAAAAUGUUCUCCUCCCACCCACAUUCAGUUAGGUUACAAAAAAAUUUUCAAACCUUGUCAUUUUUUUCCCAAUCACAAUAACAUAUCAUAACAUUUUCAAAAUAAAAAAUAAAAAUUAGGUAUUCCCCUUUCAAAAGCAAACAUUCAGGAUUUUGAAAUUGGAACUUUUAACUCAGAAAAUCAAAGAAAAUGAAUAAGAAAAAACUCAACCCGUGAUCUAUUCGAAAAUAAGAGGAGAAACCACCGAAGGAUGAGGGCAUAAUUUAGGAUUUACUUACCUGAUUUUCCUGAAAAUCGAGUAUUACCGGAUGGAGAAGCUUUGUUGUUGGCGAUGCUGACUUGUCAAGUGGACUAAAUCUUACAACGGUGACGUUGGCAAGGCAACCCCCUCACAGUCAGAUUGCUCCCCCUCCAAUGUUGGGUCUUGCAUAGUUGCAAAUUUGCAAUUGCAUGUGGUGUUGGUGGGUCUUCACAACAGCGAGGGUAGGAGACAACAACAAAGGUGGGAGAUUG
RNAcentral lists this long non-coding RNA (13970 nucleotides) under Vitis vinifera (wine grape). Its description in RNAcentral is "long non-coding RNA (VVIN_LNC005585)". The record is from RNAcentral. Lineage: Eukaryota; Viridiplantae; Streptophyta; Magnoliopsida; Vitales; Vitaceae.